This is a non-coding RNA of Paramuricea clavata, 471 nucleotides long. The record is from the annotation of a GenBank genome assembly. NCBI's taxonomy places the organism in Eukaryota, Metazoa, Cnidaria, Anthozoa, Malacalcyonacea, Plexauridae.
GACGACAUGGAAGGCAAAGUCGAAGGGUUUUUUGUUUCAUAAAUAUAAUGACCUUCGAAGUUAAGGUCCCUGUAACUAAGACUUCGACACAAAAGAAAAUGCUACGAUACGGACGAGAUAAAAAUCGGCCUUUACUUGUUUUUUUACUUUGUUAGAUCCAUCGAUACGUAUGUUCAAGAAUUAAAAUAAUUUUAUUGAAAAUAAAAGUGCAAGUUUAUAUUUGCCGUUUCUGUGUUUAAUAAAAUCUAGUAGUUAUCCAGACCAUUUUGUGCUUUCUAAUCUUAAAAUGGUUAUUUAAUUUUAUUAGUAAGUAUGACCAGACACCGACUCAGUUUGUUUAUAUAUACUGAACGCUGGGAACCCUAUAAAACUCAAGUCCUUUUCAUCGGAAGUACAAUUUAUUUUAUACAAUUUAUACAUAGACAUACAUAUACAUACAUAAACUUUAUCUAAACACGGGAAAAAACCAUC